RNAcentral lists this ribosomal RNA (624 nucleotides) under Staphylococcus haemolyticus. RNAcentral's name for it is "bacterial LSU rRNA". It matches the Rfam family "Bacterial large subunit ribosomal RNA", at positions 591 to 1215 of the family's 2925-position model. Lineage: Bacteria; Bacillati; Bacillota; Bacilli; Caryophanales; Staphylococcaceae. The record is from RNAcentral.
GGGUGAUGGCGUGCCUUUUGUAGAAUGAACCGGCGAGUUACGAUCUGAUGCAAGGUUAAGCAGGAAAUGUGGAGCCGUAGCGAAAGCGAGUCUGAAUAGGGCGUUGAGUAUUUGGUCGUAGACCCGAAACCAGGUGAUCUACCCAUGGUCAGGUUGAAGUUCAGGUAACACUGAAUGGAGGACCGAACCGACUUACGUUGAAAAGUGAGCGGAUGAACUGUGGGUAGCGGAGAAAUUCCAAUCGAACUUGGAGAUAGCUGGUUCUCUCCGAAAUAGCUUUAGGGCUAGCCUCAAGUGAUGAUUAUUGGAGGUAGAGCACUGUUUGGACGAGGGGCCCCUCUCGGGUUACCGAAUUCAGACAAACUCCGAAUGCCAAUUAAUUUAACUUGGGAGUCAGAACAUGGGUGAUAAGGUCCGUGUUCGAAAGGGAAACAGCCCAGACCACCAGCUAAGGUCCCAAAAUAUAUGUUAAGUGGAAAAGGAUGUGGCGUUGCCCAGACAACUAGGAUGUUGGCUUAGAAGCAGCCAUCAUUUAAAGAGUGCGUAAUAGCUCACUAGUCGAGUGACACUGCGCCGAAAAUGUACCGGGGCUAAACAUAUUACCUAAGCUGUGGAUUGACCAAA